UGCGCAGGCGGUUUUGUAAGUCAGAUGUGAAAUCCCCGAGCUCAACUUGGGAACUGCGUUUGAAACUACAAGACUAGAAUAUGUCAGAGGGGGGUAGAAUUCCACGUGUAGCAGUGAAAUGCGUAGAGAUGUGGAGGAAUACCAUGGCGAAGGCAGCCCCCUGGGAUAAUAUUGACGCUCAUGCACGAAAGCGGUGGGGAGCAAACA
RNAcentral lists this ribosomal RNA (207 nucleotides) under uncultured bacterium. RNAcentral describes it as "partial 16S ribosomal RNA". It matches the Rfam family "Bacterial small subunit ribosomal RNA", at positions 568 to 774 of the family's 1533-position model. The record is from RNAcentral.